Long non-coding RNA from Scylla paramamosain (green mud crab), 712 nucleotides. RefSeq lists it as uncharacterized. The record is from RefSeq and is a predicted model, not a curated record. NCBI's taxonomy places the organism in Eukaryota, Metazoa, Arthropoda, Malacostraca, Decapoda, Portunidae. The transcript has 3 exons.
AAAAAAAAAGAACAGAAAAGAAAAUUUUAUUGUUUGGAUAUUUAAGUCAUUGCCUACCUUGUGAGUGGCGAGCCGGGGCUCCGCCACAUCUGCCCACAGCGGCCUGAACCAGUCGAGUUGUUCACAUCACUCGUGACACACUACUCGAGACUGGAAACCACAGCCUGCCAUGAACAGCUGCCCUGGUCCUGUGGUGUUGGUGGUGUUAUUUACUCGCACCAAGCGGUGGAUGAGCAGUACACAUACUUCUCUCAAGCACUUGAAUAUAAUGUUAGAAUUUAAAAGAAAUUAAUUGGAACGAUGACUCGAAUCAAUGAAAGGAGUCGUCCGAUUCGAAAGUGACUCGAAUCUUCCAUCACUGGUAACCGUGGGCCUCAGUUACCUUUGAAUAUUGUGACGAGACGGGCGCUGCGUUUAACCUCGAGUUCUUUUCCUGUUUCUUCACAUUUAUUUUCAGACGGUGGGGCGAGGUGGCGGUAGGUAAGUCGCGGCUCACAUGGAGACUCUCAAAUACACUACCACCACCACCACCACCACGAGAGUGACCUUACUGGGGAAACAGCGCGCCUGACGAGGGAAGCUCACGUAAUUGCCCUGAUUGACUGGGGCUGCUGCUCCUGCCUUAUUUGGGUGCAUGGUGAAGGUGGGCGCAGUGAGGCAGUGUGGGUGAGUCUGAGAAUGGGUGGUGGGUGAGUCUUGAGACCUGUGUAAU